Molecule: unclassified non-coding RNA, 279 nt
Filed under: plant metagenome
Description: partial contains small subunit ribosomal RNA, internal transcribed spacer 1, and 5.8S ribosomal RNA
Source: RNAcentral
UUUCCGUAGGUGAACCUGCGGAAGGUUCAUUAACGUAUCUCUGACGGCGAGGGUGCGCCCCGCUCCGGACCGAACGGCCGUGCAGAGUGCGAGCACGAGCCGCUCAACCUUUGCUAACCAAACAGUGCACUUUUGUCGGCAAAGGGCGCUCAGGGCCCCGAGCAGGACUACAAACACUACUUUACAGAACCAUCUGUGGCCGCUGCGUCGCCUUAACUUCACCAACUUUCAAAAAUGGAUCUCUUGGCGAUCGCAUCGAAGAAGAAAGCAGCAACAAGG